UCUUCCAUAGCUCAGUUGGUAGAGCGUGCGACUGUUAAUCGCAAGGUCAUCGGUUCGAACCCGGUUGGAAGAG
Molecule: transfer RNA, 73 nt
Rfam family: tRNA
About the family: Transfer RNA (tRNA) molecules are approximately 80 nucleotides in length. Their secondary structure includes four short double-helical elements and three loops (D, anti-codon, and T loops). Further hydrogen bonds mediate the characteristic L-shaped molecular structure. tRNAs have two regions of fundamental functional importance: the anti-codon, which is responsible for specific mRNA codon recognition, and the 3' end, to which the tRNAs corresponding amino acid is attached (by aminoacyl-tRNA synthetases). tRNAs cope with the degeneracy of the genetic code in two manners: having more than one tRNA (with a specific anti-codon) for a particular amino acid; and 'wobble' base-pairing, i.e. permitting non-standard base-pairing at the 3rd anti-codon position.
Source: Rfam